Molecule: long non-coding RNA, 1593 nt
Organism: Zonotrichia leucophrys gambelii
Lineage: Eukaryota; Metazoa; Chordata; Aves; Passeriformes; Passerellidae
Exons: 3
Source: RefSeq, a predicted model, not a curated record
AGAAAGAGGGGAAGCCACUGACCAUACCAUUGCCUGAAGGAAUAAUGUGUGUGUUUCUUCCUUUGCCUCACUGCUGCCUUUGGGCCAUAAAAGCCAAGUGGAAAACACAGUACUGGCUACAUCCAGAUGGUUUUCCAGGAGAACAAGCAUGGAUAUGGAUCAGGGAUCCACCAGACCUGCAACAGGUACAGACCCACAGUGUGUCACAUCAUGCCUUCAAUCAGAUCCUGCUGUGAGUGGUUGCAGUGAGCUUCCAUUGACCUUGCCUCCCACCCAACUUUUUGGCUCGCCACCAAGUUAAGACUGCCUGAAACUCAGCACCUGGCAGAGAAGCUUUGCAAAAGAGCUGUUUUAGCCUUCAGGAGUUUUAAUACUUAGAUUAAAUUCUCACUGUAGUAGGCUUUGAUUUUGCUGACCACACUUUAGUGAAGUCCCUGCUUCUGUGAGUGAUUAAUAUUUAGCCCAGAUGGGAGAGGUUUGUCUUCAGAGGAAUUUGACCAAGAAGCAGAAGAUGAAGCAAACUUGGCAAAUAGUCCUAUCCACUGUCAUGUUAUCAGGGUUGCUCUGGGGAAGGUAGAGAAAAUGACUUUGGGUUUUGCAGGAAAUGAAUGGUAGAACCCAUCACAGCCCAGCCCUGACUUCUAUUGCCACAAGAGUGCAGCUUUUUUCAUCAUCUCCUGUAAUAAAUUGCCUAAUUUAGUCUGGCUCCAGAAAAUAAAUACUGAUGACACAUCUCUUUUACAAGGCAAAGUAAAGUUCUUUUAAAUUUCUCUCUCAUACAUUCUUUAUUUUCAGAAAUUUGGUUUGUGUUUGUUGUUUCUGAAUUUAGCAUAGAGUUCAAAAACAGUCUCAGUCCUCAUGUUUUUUCCUGUUUUCCAUAGAUCUGUUUGGCAAGCAGUCCUAAAAUUGCCAGAUCUGGUAGUAGAUACAGGUGUAGCUCUCUGCUCCCUGCUAUUCUGUGAAGACUUUAGUUUUCUGCUUGGAAACAAUCAUGCUAACAGCCAGAUCCAAGCAAUUGAGGAUGAAAAUAGCUUAAGUCUGCCUUCCUGCUAGACCAGAACUGUUAUCUCUCAUUCACUCACUAUGGCUUUGUCCAGCUUAAUUUUAAAUAUACCAAGGCGUAGAGCUUCUGUUACAUUACUUUUGAGAGACAAUUUUGUAUACCUCACCGCCAGGAAGUCCUUCCUCAAACUCCACAUUUUCCCUGCCUAUCUUUACCCCUGAAUGCUAAUUUAAUCCUGGUGUAUUUUGGUGAUUGUGUCCUUGCUCUUCAUAAUAUAUAAAACAUCUCAGGUCUUUCUUGUCAUCACUUGCCUGUGCUACCAGCAUUAACCGCUUGAGCCUUAUUCUUCUGUUUGUAAGAGAUUCAAUUUUUGCCAACAGCUUUGGAGACAGCACCACAAAUCUUCAAACUUGCCUCAUAGGCAGAGUGGUAGAAAUUAUUCUUCGAACCACUCCAGUAAAAAAAAAAAAAAUUCUCUGUGCUGACAUUUUUCUCCUUUUCUUUCUUUGGAGAAAUAACACAUGUAAUCAAUGUUAGUUUUGAUGAGAAAUUGCAAAAUAAAGCUGCUUUGUUUUUAGCAGUUCACCUUG